UUAUGAUGAAACUUGAACUAUACAGCUGGAAUUACCGGCAGAUUGUUCAGUGUUGAUCACUUAGUUUCUGAGC
This 73-nucleotide small nucleolar RNA is filed under the name Poecilia reticulata (guppy). Lineage: Eukaryota; Metazoa; Chordata; Actinopteri; Cyprinodontiformes; Poeciliidae. The record is from RNAcentral.